This 621-nucleotide ribosomal RNA is filed under the name Colacogloea diffluens. RNAcentral's name for it is "LSU rRNA". It matches the Rfam family "Eukaryotic large subunit ribosomal RNA", at positions 43 to 660 of the family's 3401-position model. The record is from RNAcentral. Lineage: Eukaryota; Fungi; Basidiomycota; Microbotryomycetes; Colacogloeaceae.
UCAAUAAGCGGAGGAAAAGAAAGCCACAAGGAUUCCCCUAGUAGCGGCGAGCGAAGCGGGAAGAGCUCAAAUUUGUAAUCUGGUACCUUCGGUGCCCGAGUUGUAAUCUCGAGAAGUGUUUUCCGUGCCAGACCGCAUACAAGUCUGUUGGAAUACAGCGUCAUAGUGGUGAGAACCCCGUAGAUGAUGCGGAUGCCUGGUGCUCUGUGAUACACUUUCGAAGAGUCGAGUUGUUUGGGAAUGCAGCUCAAAUUGGGUGGUAAAUUCCAUCUAAAGCUAAAUAUUGGCGAGAGACCGAUAGCGAACAAGUACCGUGAGGGAAAGAUGAAAAGCACUUUGGAAAGAGAGUUAACAGUACGUGAAAUUGUUGGAAGGGAAACGCUUGAAGUCAGACUUGCUAUUCGGAGUUCAGCCUUACGGUGUAUUCUUCGAUUUGCAGGCCAGCAUCAGUUUUUGGGAGUAGAAAAGGGUAUUAGGAACGUGACAACUCCGGUUGUGUUAUAGCCUUUUACUGGAUCUAUUCUUGGGGACUGAGGAACGCACGGCACUUUUUGCACGACCCUCGGGUUGUUUUGCCGUUAGGAUGCUAGUGGAGUGGCUUKRAACNACCCGUCUUGAAAC